UUUGGUUAAGUUAGAAAGGGCGCACGGUGGAUGCCUUGACACUAGGAGUCGAUGAAGGACGGGACUAACGCCGAUAUGCUUCGGGGAGCUGUAAGUAAGCUUUGAUCCGAAGAUUUCCGAAUGGGGAAACCCACCAUACGUAAUGGUAUGGUAUCCUUAUCUGAAUACAUAGGGUAAGGAAGACAGACCCAGGGAACUGAAACAUCUAAGUACCUGGAGGAAGAGAAAGCAAAUGCGAUUUCCUGAGUAGCGGCGAGCGAAACGGAACAUAGCCCAAACCAAGAGGCUUGCCUCUUGGGGUUGUAGGACAUUCUAUACGGAGUUACAAAGGAACGAGGUAGACGAAGCGACCUGGAAAGGUCCGUCGUAGAGGGUAACAACCCCGUAGUCGAAACUUCGUUCUCUCUUGAAUGUAUCCUGAGUACGGCGGAACACGUGAAAUUCCGUCGGAAUCUGGGAGGACCAUCUCCCAAGGCUAAAUACUCCCUAGUGAUCGAUAGUGAACCAGUACCGUGAGGGAAAGGUGAAAAGCACCCCGGAAGGGGAGUGAAAGAGAUCCUGAAACCGUGUGCCUACAAAUAGUCAGAGCCCGUUAACGGGUGAUGGCGUGCCUUUUGUAGAAUGAACCGGCGAGUUACGAUCCCGUGCGAGGUUAAGCUGAAGAGGCGGAGCCGCAGCGAAAGCGAGUCUGAAUAGGGCGUUUAGUACGUGGUCGUAGACCCGAAACCAGGUGAUCUACCCAUGUCCAGGGUGAAGUUCAGGUAACACUGAAUGGAGGCCCGAACCCACGCACGUUGAAAAGUGCGGGGAUGAGGUGUGGGUAGCGGAGAAAUUCCAAUCGAACCUGGAGAUAGCUGGUUCUCCCCGAAAUAGCUUUAGGGCUAGCCUUAAGUGUAAGAGUCUUGGAGGUAGAGCACUGAUUGGACUAGGGGUCCUCAUCGGAUUACCGAAUUCAGUCAAACUCCGAAUGCCAAUGACUUAUCCUUAGGAGUCAGACUGCGAGUGAUAAGAUCCGUAGUCAAAAGGGAAACAGCCCAGACCGCCAGCUAAGGUCCCAAAGUGUGUAUUAAGUGGAAAAGGAUGUGGAGUUGCUUAGACAACUAGGAUGUUGGCUUAGAAGCAGCCACCAUUUAAAGAGUGCGUAAUAGCUCACUAGUCGAGUGACUCUGCGCCGAAAAUGUACCGGGGCUAAAUACACCACCGAAGCUGCGGAUUGAUACCGAAUGGUAUCAGUGGUAGGGGAGCGUUCUAAGGACAGUGAAGUCAGACCGGAAGGACUGGUGGAGUGCUUAGAAGUGAGAAUGCCGGUAUGAGUAGCGAAAGACGGGUGAGAAUCCCGUCCACCGAAUGCCUAAGGUUUCCUGAGGAAGGCUCGUCCGCUCAGGGUUAGUCAGGACCUAAGCCGAGGCCGACAGGCGUAGGCGAUGGACAACAGGUUGAUAUUCCUGUACCACCUCUUUAUCGUUUGAGCAAUGGAGGGACGCAGAAGGAUAGAAGAAGCGUGCGAUUGGUUGUGCACGUCCAAGCAGUUAGGCUGAUAAGUAGGCAAAUCCGCUUAUCGUGAAGGCUGAGCUGUGAUGGGGAAGCUCCUUAUGGAGCGAAGUCUUUGAUUCCCCGCUGCCAAGAAAAGCUUCUAGCGAGAUAAAAGGUGCCUGUACCGCAAACCGACACAGGUAGGCGAGGAGAGAAUCCUAAGGUGUGCGAGAGAACUCUGGUUAAGGAACUCGGCAAAAUGACCCCGUAACUUCGGGAGAAGGGGUGCUUUCUUAACGGAAAGCCGCAGUGAAUAGGCCCAAGCGACUGUUUAGCAAAAACACAGCUCUCUGCGAAGCCGUAAGGCGAAGUAUAGGGGGUGACACCUGCCCGGUGCUGGAAGGUUAAGGAGAGGGGUUAGCGUAAGCGAAGCUCUGAACUGAAGCCCCAGUAAACGGCGGCCGUAACUAUAACGGUCCUAAGGUAGCGAAAUUCCUUGUCGGGUAAGUUCCGACCCGCACGAAAGGUGUAACGAUUUGGGCACUGUCUCAACCAGAGACUCGGUGAAAUUAUAGUACCUGUGAAGAUGCAGGUUACCCGCGACAGGACGGAAAGACCCCGUGGAGCUUUACUGUAGCCUGAUAUUGAAUUUUGGUACAGUUUGUACAGGAUAGGCGGGAGCCAUUGAAACCGGAGCGCUAGCUUCGGUGGAGGCGCUGGUGGGAUACCGCCCUGACUGUAUUGAAAUUCUAACCUACGGGUCUUAUCGACCCGGGAGACAGUGUCAGGUGGGCAGUUUGACUGGGGCGGUCGCCUCCUAAAGUGUAACGGAGGCGCCCAAAGGUUCCCUCAGAAUGGUUGGAAAUCAUUCGUAGAGUGCAAAGGCAUAAGGGAGCUUGACUGCGAGACCUACAAGUCGAGCAGGGACGAAAGUCGGGCUUAGUGAUCCGGUGGUUCCGCAUGGAAGGGCCAUCGCUCAACGGAUAAAAGCUACCCCGGGGAUAACAGGCUUAUCUCCCCCAAGAGUCCACAUCGACGGGGAGGUUUGGCACCUCGAUGUCGGCUCAUCGCAUCCUGGGGCUGUAGUCGGUCCCAAGGGUUGGGCUGUUCGCCCAUUAAAGCGGUACGCGAGCUGGGUUCAGAACGUCGUGAGACAGUUCGGUCCCUAUCCGUCGUGGGCGUAGGAAAUUUGAGAGGAGCUGUCCUUAGUACGAGAGGACCGGGAUGGACGCACCGCUGGUGUACCAGUUGUUCUGCCAAGGGCAUAGCUGGGUAGCUAUGUGCGGAAGGGAUAAGUGCUGAAAGCAUCUAAGCAUGAAGCCCCCCUCAAGAUGAGAUUUCCCAUAGCGUAAGCUAGUAAGAUCCCUGAAAGAUGAUCAGGUUGAUAGGUUCGAGGUGGAAGCAUGGUGACAUGUGGAGCUGACGAAUACUAAUAGAUCGAGGACUUAACCAUUUU
Molecule: ribosomal RNA, 2929 nt
Filed under: Bacillus cereus
Lineage: Bacteria; Bacillati; Bacillota; Bacilli; Caryophanales; Bacillaceae
Description: bacterial LSU rRNA
Rfam family: Bacterial large subunit ribosomal RNA
Source: RNAcentral